UACGUAUGUCACGAGCGUUAUCCGGAUUUAUUGGGCGUAAAGCGCGUCUAGGUGGUUAUGUAAGUCUGAUGUGAAAAUGCAGGGCUCAACUCUGUAUUGCGUUGGAAACUGUAUAACUAGAGUACUGGAGAGGUAAGCGGAACUACAAGUGUAGAGGUGAAAUUCGUAGAUAUUUGUAGGAAUGCCGAUGGGGAAGCCAGCUUACUGGACAGAUACUGACGCUGAAGCGCGAAAGCGUGGGUAGCAAACAGGAUUAGAUACCCCGUGUAGUCC
RNAcentral lists this ribosomal RNA (273 nucleotides) under uncultured bacterium. RNAcentral's name for it is "partial 16S ribosomal RNA". It matches the Rfam family "Bacterial small subunit ribosomal RNA", at positions 524 to 796 of the family's 1533-position model. The record is from RNAcentral.